This 373-nucleotide ribosomal RNA is filed under the name uncultured bacterium. RNAcentral describes it as "bacterial SSU rRNA". It matches the Rfam family "Bacterial small subunit ribosomal RNA", at positions 521 to 896 of the family's 1533-position model. The record is from RNAcentral.
UAAUACGGAGGGUGCAAGCGUUAUCCGGAUUUACUGGGUUUAAAGGGUGCGUAGGUGGACUAGUAAGUCAGUGGUGAAAUCUCCGGGCUUAACCCGGAAACUGCCAUUGAUACUAUUGGUCUUGAAUACUUUGGAGGUAAGCGGAAUAUGUCAUGUAGCGGUGAAAUGCUUAGAUAUGACAUAGAACACCAAUUGCGAAGGCAGCUUACUACACAGUGAUUGACACUGAGGCACGAAAGCGUGGGGAUCAAACAGGAUUAGAUACCCUGGUAGUCCACGCCCUAAACGAUGGAUACUCGACAUUAGCGAUACACAGUUAGUGUCUGAGCGAAAGCAUUAAGUAUCCCACCUGGGAAGUACGAUCGCAAGAUUG